GGGAACGGAACGAUCACAACUGCUGUAGAAUGUUGGUGGGCAGGGCUGGUGCCUGGUACCACUAUGAGGCACAGUGACUACUGUUGUGGUGAGCUGAUGGGAAGGGCUGGCACCCAGUCCACAUGUGAUGCUUGGAUGUGACUGCUGCAGUGUGUUGCACACCUGGACUAGGUCACAACAAUGGCCACCACCAAUGUCUCAGUCUCCAGAGAGGUCUCUCCUUUCAGUGAGAUGCACCCAGAGCCCACCAGGUUGUGGACCCAAGGAUGAGGUCAACUGAGAAGAUAGCAAGACUGAAAGAGAGAGAAAUUGAGGUCUGAUUAUAUGAAGCAUGAAGCAUGACCAGUCUCUGGGACUUUUCAGCAUAUAUGAGCUAAU
RNAcentral lists this long non-coding RNA (378 nucleotides) under Equus caballus (horse). Its description in RNAcentral is "lncRNA (ENSECAG00000055462.1)". The record is from RNAcentral. Lineage: Eukaryota; Metazoa; Chordata; Mammalia; Perissodactyla; Equidae.